This 460-nucleotide ribosomal RNA is filed under the name uncultured bacterium. RNAcentral's name for it is "partial 16S ribosomal RNA". It matches the Rfam family "Bacterial small subunit ribosomal RNA", at positions 338 to 795 of the family's 1533-position model. The record is from RNAcentral.
CCUACGGGUGGCAGCAGUGAGGAAUAUUGGUCAAUGGGCGGAAGCCUGAACCAGCCAAGUCGCGUGAGGGAAUACGGCCCUACGGGUCGUAAACCUCUUUUGCCGGGGAGCAAGGGCCGGGACGCGUCCCGGCCCGGAGAGUACCCGGAGAAAAAGGAACGGCUAACUCCGUGGCAGCAGCCGCGGGAAUAAGGAAGAUGCGAGCGUUAUCCGGAGUUAUUGGGUUUAAAGGGUGCGUAGGCGGGCUUUUAAGUCAGCGGUAAAAAUUCGGGGCUCAACCCAGGCCGGACGUUGAAACUGGGGGCCUUGAGUGUGCCAGAAGAAGGCGGAAUGCGUGGUGUAGCGGUGACAUGCAUAGAUAUCACGCAGAACCCCGAUUGCGAAGGCAGCCGUCCGGCGCCCUACUGACGCUGAGGCACGAAAGUGCGGGGAUCGAACAGGAUUAGAUACCCGUGUAGUC